Magnolia sinica is the source of this 730-nucleotide long non-coding RNA. RefSeq lists it as uncharacterized. Lineage: Eukaryota; Viridiplantae; Streptophyta; Magnoliopsida; Magnoliales; Magnoliaceae. The record is from RefSeq and is a predicted model, not a curated record. The transcript is spliced from 4 exons.
UGAGCAAUGUGAGUAAUACAUGCACAAACGAGAUGGAGAAGGGGCUUAGCAGCAUGUGUGCCAACAUGGUACACUUGUGGGAGAUUGAGUUAGACUGCUGGUUAUUGAAACAAAAGUCAGGCUGGUCUGCUUGUCAGCCUUUUGGGAUUAGAGGCAUGCUUAAGGAUGGAAGUGGUCAGUGAGGGAGGAAUCCUCAAAGAGAGCGAAUUCUUGGGUAUCCGAGCCCAUGUGAAGAUUUUCGUGAACUGGCAGCAGAUAGAGACUUUAUAAUGCAAUCACUUGGGCCUUUGGAAUCUAUGUUCCUGCUUCAAAGCCGAGCUCUAUUUUGAAUGAGUUAAGAACAUUUAAACGCCAUCAUUUCACCGAGGAAUGCGAGUGGGACUCGAGCAAAUGAGAUGAGAGAAGGGGCCUAGCAGCGCAUGUGCCAACAUGGUGCACUUGUGGGAGACUGGGUUAGGCAACUAGUGAAUUUUGAACCAAAAAUCAGGCCAGUCUGCUUAUUAGAAGUUCGCACCGAAGAUGGUCGACAAAGAAAAUCUUACUCAUCUGCAAGCAACUUGAAAAAAUAGUUCAUAUGUUACAGGACCUUAAAGAUGUCAUAAAAGUGAGAUUUCUCUCAUGUGGGCCAUAUGUUAUGGGAACUUCCAGAUGUAUGGUUUGGAUCAUCAUAUCAUGGAGUGAACAGGCAAGUUGAUUGAGUGAUUUUUGCUAGCAUAUUUCAUUUAGAACU